RNAcentral lists this long non-coding RNA (252 nucleotides) under Mytilus galloprovincialis (Mediterranean mussel). Lineage: Eukaryota; Metazoa; Mollusca; Bivalvia; Mytilida; Mytilidae. The record is from RNAcentral.
GAAUUAAUUUUCUUCUCACUUAAAGUUCUAAGGCGUAUAAAUUUUUUGGGCAGGAAAAAUUAUUGUGUUAAAUGAUAGGUGUUUAUAUGGUCAUUUCUAGCCUUGCCUUACUCCAGUGAACAUCAAAGUGCCAUGAUGGAUCCCUACAUCAAGAAUAGUGUUAAGCGGAUUGUUGGGGAAGAAAUUGGAAAAUCACAGAUCUUUAUUGUCACAAAUGGAAGGGAUGUUUUCAAUAAAACUACUGGAAUUCGA